GAUGAACGCUGGCGGCGUGCCUAAUACAUGCAAGUCGAGCGAACAGACGAGGAGCUUGCUCCUCUGACGUUAGCGGCGGACGGGUGAGUAACACGUGGAUAACCUACCUAUAAGACUGGGAUAACUUCGGGAAACCGGAGCUAAUACCGGAUAAUAUAUUGAACCGCAUGGUUCAAUAGUGAAAGACGGUUUUGCUGUCACUUAUAGAUGGAUCCGCGCCGCAUUAGCUAGUUGGUAAGGUAACGGCUUACCAAGGCAACGAUGCGUAGCCGACCUGAGAGGGUGAUCGGCCACACCGGAACUGAGACACGGUCCAGACUCCUACGGGAGGCAGCAGUAGGGAAUCUUCCGCAAUGGGCGAAAGCUUGACGGAGCAACGCCGCGUGAGUGAUGAAGGUCUUCGGAUCGUAAAACUCUGUUAUUAGGGAAGAAAAAAUGUGUAAGUAACUAUGCACGUCUUGACGGUACCUAAUCAGAAAGCCACGGCUAACUACGUG
RNAcentral lists this ribosomal RNA (497 nucleotides) under uncultured bacterium. RNAcentral describes it as "partial 16S ribosomal RNA". It matches the Rfam family "Bacterial small subunit ribosomal RNA", at positions 28 to 507 of the family's 1533-position model. The record is from RNAcentral.